UGGGGAAUAUUGCACAAUGGAGGGAACUCUGAUGCAGCGACGCCGCGUGAACGAAGAAGGCUUUCGAGUCGUAAAGUUCUUUUAUAUGGGAAGAUAAUGACGGUACUAUAAGAAAAAGCCCUGGCUAACUACGUGCCAGCAGCCGCGGUAAUACGUAGGGGGCUAGCGUUGUCCGGAAUCACUGGGCGUAAAGGGUUCGCAGGCGGAAAUGCAAGUCAGGUGUAAAAGGCAGUAGCUUAACUACUGUAAGCAUUUGAAACUGCAUAUCUUGAGAAGAGUAGAGGUAAGUGGAAUUUUUAGUGUAGCGGUGAAAUGCGUAGAUAUUAAAAAGAAUACCGGUGGCGAAGGCGACUUACUGGGCUCAUUCUGACGCUGAGGAACGAAAGCGUGGGUAGCAAACAGG
RNAcentral lists this ribosomal RNA (403 nucleotides) under Fusobacteriota bacterium. RNAcentral's name for it is "Fusobacteria bacterium partial 16S ribosomal RNA". It matches the Rfam family "Bacterial small subunit ribosomal RNA", at positions 355 to 776 of the family's 1533-position model. Lineage: Bacteria; Fusobacteriati; Fusobacteriota. The record is from RNAcentral.